RNAcentral lists this ribosomal RNA (396 nucleotides) under uncultured Atopobium sp. RNAcentral describes it as "bacterial SSU rRNA". It matches the Rfam family "Bacterial small subunit ribosomal RNA", at positions 72 to 479 of the family's 1533-position model. The record is from RNAcentral. Lineage: Bacteria; Bacillati; Actinomycetota; Coriobacteriia; Coriobacteriales; Atopobiaceae.
AAGCAUCUUCGGAUGUGUAUAAAGUGGCGAACGGCUGAGUAACACGUGGGCAGCCUGCCCUUUGCACUGGGAUAGCCUCGGGAAACCGAGGUUAAUACCGGAUACUCCAUAUUUGUCGCAUGGCGAAUAUGGGAAAGCUCCGGCGGCAAAGGAUGGGCCCGCGGCCUGUUAGCUAGUUGGUGGGGUAGUGGCCUACCAAGGCAAUGAUGGGUAGCCGGGUUGAGAGACCGACCGGCCAGAUUGGGACUGAGACACGGCCCAGACUCCUACGGGAGGCAGCAGUGGGGAAUCUUGCACAAUGGGCGAAAGCCUGAUGCAGCGACGCCGCGUGCGGGAUGAAGGCCUUCGGGUUGUAAACCGCUUUCAGCAGGGACGAGGCCGCAAGGUGACGGUACC